GAUGAACGCUGGCGGCGUGCCUAAUACAUGCAAGUCGAGCGAACGGACGAGAAGCUUGCUUCUCUGAUGUUAGCGGCGGACGGGUGAGUAACACGUGGAUAACCUACCUAUAAGACUGGGAUAACUUCGGGAAACCGUAGCUAAUACCGGAUAAUAUUUUGAACCGCAUGGUUCAAAAGUGAAAGACGGUCUUGCUGUCACUUAUAGAUGGAUCCGCGCUGCAUUAGCUAGUUGGUAAGGUAACGGCUUACCAAGGCAACGAUGCAUAGCCGACCUGAGAGGGUGAGCUGCCACACUGGAACUGAGACACGGUCCAGACUCCUACGGGAGGCAGCAGUAGGGAAUCUUCCGCAAGGGGCGAAAGCCUGACGGAGCAACGCCGCGUGAGUGAUGAAGGUCUUCGGAUCGUAAAACUCUGUUAUUAGGAAAGAACAUAUGUGUAAGUAACUGUGCGCAUCUUGACGGUACCUAAUCAGAAAGCCACGGCUAACUACGUG
Molecule: ribosomal RNA, 497 nt
Filed under: uncultured bacterium
Lineage: Bacteria
Description: partial 16S ribosomal RNA
Rfam family: Bacterial small subunit ribosomal RNA
Source: RNAcentral